UGUCACAUAAGAGCCAUUUAUUUACAUAUUCAGAGGAAUGGCCCCAGUGGGCCAGCCUCUGACAGGGACUCCUGCUGAGCUGGGAUGAGUGGGGAGACUUGAUUGCAGGGGGGUAGAUAGCCUGUGGGAGUUCCACCCACAGCAGAGCCCAAGUGGCCGGAGCCUGCAGCCUUAAGAGUAGUUGGUGUUGGAGAUCUCCCUCCAGAGUAAGGUCUUAAGGUGGCUGUGUACCCCACAUUGGCAAGUGUAGUCUCACACAUGUAGAAGGUACCAUAGGAACCAUGGAAGAGCUCCUCUACAAAUUCCAACAGGCCAAUGGCGAUCUUUGCACGCCAUGGCCAUGCAGGUCCAAACCACUGCUGGAGAGCCCUGUGCAGCACAGAUGGUAGAAGGGGGCGCAAGGCAGGCAGCAACACUGCCCCGUGCCAGGAGCCGUGAGGGAUGCUCUCGGUAAGGUAGAGGUCCCCGCAGUAGCCCAGCAGCCGGGAAGCAUGCUCCUUCUCCUGAAGGGACAACAGCAGCAGGAACUCAUUGCGCU
Molecule: long non-coding RNA, 538 nt
Filed under: Rattus norvegicus (Norway rat)
Lineage: Eukaryota; Metazoa; Chordata; Mammalia; Rodentia; Muridae
Description: long non-coding RNA NONRATT019095
Source: RNAcentral